AUGUAAUGAAUCAUUCUUUAAUGAUUUAAACUCCAAUUUGUUGGGUAAAAGCAUCCUUUCAUCUCAAAUUACCCUCUAUUAAAGAGCUAUGAAAUAAAGCUGUGAACAUCCCCAUUUGAAAGUAACAGAGGUGGAGGGCUGACUACAACAGACCUGCAGUAUCUACAUGGCUGGCAGUGACUUGCUUCUAAAGAAGAGAAUACAGCAGAAGUGAUGUCGCUUCCAAGAGCAGUCUAGGAAACACUGUGGUGUUCCCUCUCAAUCUCUCGCCGGCGAUCUCUGCUGAAUCCAGCGGCUGCAGUGAGCUGCCCUGGAGAUGAGCAAGGAGUUAAGGACUUGAGGACAGCCUGAAGACUGUAGUCAGUGCACCAUUCCAGAGGGAACCGUGUGUAUGAGCUUGGGAGUAGAUCCUGUUCCAGUUCAGCCUUGAGGUGACUGUGACCUGUGGUCACACCUGAGUCACCUGAGUCAGAGGAACCAGCCGAGCUGCCCUGGAUCCCUCACCCAAACCGUCUUUGGAACUUCUCUUGUGUAAGGGCUUCCCUGAUGGCUCAGCAGAAAAGAACCCACCUGCCAAUGCGGGAGAUGCAAGAGACGCAGGUUCAGUUCCUGGGUGGGCAAGAUCUCCUGGAGAAGGAAACGGCACUAAGCAACAACCUUUGUGUAACUGUAACUUCAUGUGCUUAGUCACUCAGUUAUGGCUGACUCUGUGCGACCCCAUGGACUAUGGCCUGCCAGUCUCCUUUGUCCACGGAAUUUUCCAGGCAAGAAUACUGGAAAGGGUUGUCUUCUCCAAACUGUAACUUCAUACCACUGGACAAUGUCUCCCCUCACCUCCUUCCCCCCAUCCUCUGGUGACCAUCAUUCUACUGUCAGUUCUAUACUUUUGCCUAUUUUAUAUUCUUUAAAGAUUAAGUGUCUGUAAACACAAAGAUACUUUAAAUUUGGGGAAAAUAAGGUAUUUGAUAGCAUUUCAUUUUGAAAAACAUAAGAUAAUUGCAUUUUUGUGUCUAUCUGAAGAAUGGGUAAAUAUUUUCAUGUUUGAAUUUAUAUUUUGCUUGAGAUAUAUAUAGUUUAAGCCUUGAUAUAUGUAUCACAAAAUCCUUACUGUUUUUGUUGUAGAUACUCAAGAUUUUCAUUUCUUCUGCCUUUUCAUGGCCAUUGAACAAACCUAAUAGAUACAUUCAUAUUCUUGGAGGGUAUAAUUAAGAAAAAUAUCUGGUGAAAGUUAUAUCCAUUAAGUUGUUUGAUUUUUGUAUGGUAGAACUUCAUUGAAAAUACUGUUUAGAUUAAGUUCUUUAAGUGUCACUAGAUUAUAUCACUAAUAUUAAUAGACUGCUUAAAUUUUAUGGACUGGUACUUAAAUGGCAAUACAGAUUAGGUAUGAUUCAGGUACUUGUUAAAGAAUAUAAAAGGUGAUGAGAAAAAAAAAUCUUCAUGAAGAACCUUCAGUGUCUGUCUAGAUGGUCUAUCAUAUGCUCCUAUGUUAAUCUAACAGAGAAGGCAAUGGCACUCCACUCCAGUACUCUUGCCUGGAAAAUCCCAUGGAUGGAGGAGCCUGGUGGGCUGCAAUCCAUGGGGUCACUAAGAGUCAGAUAUGACUGAGCGACUUCACUUUCAAUUUUCACUUUCAUGCAUUGGAGAAGGAAAUGGCAACCCACUCCACUGUUCUUGCCUGAAGAAUCCCAGGGAUGGGAGAGCCUGGUAGGCUGCUAUCUAUGGGGUCGCACAGAGUCGGACACGACUGAAGCAACUUAGCAGCAGCAGCAGCAGCAUGUUAAUCUAAAGCAGCAUAACUUAACUUUUGAGGUUUAUCCAUUGACCAUCAUGUUGAACUGUAGUAACUGGAUUAUCUGUGGCAUCACGGCUUUGACUUAUGCUGAGGUCCAAUAUGAGGAUUUGUGUUAGGAAGCACCUUUAUAAAAUUUAUCAUUUUACUCUAAGGAUAUUAUUUAGGACAUAUGUUAUUCAACAGGAUCCUGUUUGUGAGAACUGACAGAAGAAGUUAGGUUUUAUUUUUAGUUCCUGAGGUUGCUGAGCAUUUCCUGAAUAGUUGAUUUAUCUUGAGGUUUCCAUUAAUUAUGUAACUGAGCAAAUUCCAAAUUAAGAUGACAAUGACCAAGGAAAAUUUUCAAAGGGCACAAUCUCAGGCCUUUCCCCAGAUAUGCUGAAUUAGAAUAUGGAGGCUACAGGUCCUAAAAAUUUGUGGUUUUUGUGAAGCUCUCCAGGCGACUGCCUGUGAUCAGAUGUUGAAAAUCAUUGAAGUAAAUAAUCAAGUUUUCCAUUUCUCAUUGCCAGUUAGAAAACUUGAGGUCAAGUUGUAAUCUACACUUAAUGAGCCCAUGUGAUUUCAUGUUAAGCAGAUAUUUUUUAAAUCUGCUUAUUUAAAAUGUAUCCUACUUUGAUUUCUCUUUGCCUUAAUUUUAGUAUUAUUUUCUACUUCAUAUUCUAUUUCAUUUUCUGUCUGCCAAUCCAGAUAUAGUGGAAAAUCAGAGUAUAACUUUACUACAAGCCCCCCCAUCCCCAGUUCUGCAUCCUGGGAUUCAACCAGCCUGUGUGCAUGUGUGACACAUAAGUGCUCAGUCAUCUCUGACUCUUUGUGACCCCAUGAACUAUAGCCCACCAGGCUCCUCUGUUCAUGGGAUUUUCCAAGCAAGUGUACUGGAGUAGGUUGCCAUUUCCUUCUCCAGGUAUCUUCCUGACCCAGGAAUCAAACCCGUGUCUCUUGCCUCUCUUGCAUUGACAGGUGAAUUCUUUACUUCUGUGCCACCUGGGACACUCUCAACCAACCUGGGAUGUUGAUAAAUAUAGUUAAUCCUGGUGAACAUGGGUUUGAAUUUUGUGGUCCAUUUUAACAUAGAUUUUCUUUUUUAAGUAAAAACAGUACUAUAUAAUUGGUAGUUGGUUGAAUUCAUGGAUGAGGAACUGCACAUACCGAAGGCCCAGUCUGGAACUUGAGCACCCUGAGAUUUUGGUAUUGACAGCACGUCCUGGAACCAGUUUCCUGUGGAUACAAAGGGAUGAUUGUAGUUCACUCCUUUUUUACAGCCAAAUAGUAAUCUAUUUUCAAAAAUAUAUCAAAAGUUUCUUAAUCAUUUAUCUGUUGAUGGACAUUUGAGUUCUUUCCAGUUUGUGUAUUUUGAAGGAAUGGUCUUGUAGACGUCUUCUCUGAUCAGUAUUUUGAUUUUUCUUAGGUAAUAUCCUAGGAGAAGAAUUGUUGGGUUACAGAGUAGCUCUCUAUUUAACAUUUUUAAAACUGCUUUUCCAAAGUGGUAGUAUCAUUUUACACUCUCACCUGCACAAUAUGAAAAUUCCAUGUGCUCAAUGGCCUUGCCAAUGAUUGAAACUUGUUAGUCUUUUGCAAAUUAGGAGAUAUAAUAAUAUUUCACUGUGGCUUGAAUUUUCAUUUCCUUCAUGUUUUAAGGAUGCUGAGAACAUUUUCAUGUACUUGGUCAUUUGGAUGUCCUCCUCAGUAAAGUGUCUUUUCAAAUUUUGGUCAAUCUUUAUUAGCUUGUUUUUAUUUUAUUACAUUAAAUGAGUUUUUUCCUUUAAUAUAUUCUGGAU
Bos taurus (domestic cattle) is the source of this 3564-nucleotide long non-coding RNA. The record is from Ensembl. Lineage: Eukaryota; Metazoa; Chordata; Mammalia; Artiodactyla; Bovidae.